RNAcentral lists this ribosomal RNA (914 nucleotides) under uncultured archaeon. Its description in RNAcentral is "bacterial SSU rRNA". It matches the Rfam family "Archaeal small subunit ribosomal RNA", at positions 1 to 922 of the family's 1478-position model. The record is from RNAcentral.
UCUGGUUGAUCCUGCCAGAGGUUACUGCUAUCGAGGUUCGACUAAGCCAUGCGAGUCGAAUGUAGCAAUACAUGGCGUACUGCUCAGUAACACGUGGACAACCUGCCCUUGAGACGGGGAUAAACCCGGGAAACUGGGUAUAAUACCCGAUAGAUCUCGAUUGCUGGAAUGCAUCGAGCUUGAAAGCUCCGGCGCUCAAGGAUGGGUCUGCGGCCUAUCAGGUAGUAGUGGGUGUAGCGUACCUACUAGCCUACGACGGGUACGGGUUGUGAGAGCAAGAGCCCGGAGAUGGAUUCUGAGACACGAAUCCAGGCCCUACGGGGUGCAGCAGGCGCGAAAACUUUACAAUGCUGGAAACAGCGAUAAGGGGACCUCGAGUGCCAGGUUACAAAUCUGGCUGUCGUGAUGCCUAAAAAGCAUUGCAUAGCAAGGGCCGGGCAAGACCGGUGCCAGCCGCCGCGGUAACACCGGCGGCUCGAGUGGUAACCGUUAUUAUUGGGUCUAAAGGGUCUGUAGCCGGCCGGAUAAGUCUCUUGGGAAAUCUGGCAGCUUAACUGUCAGGCUUUCAGGAGAUACUGUCUGGCUCGAGGCCGGGAGAGGUGAGAGGUACUUCAGGGGUAGGGGUGAAAUCUUGUAAUCCUUGAAGGACCACCAGUGGCGAAGGCGUCUCACCAGAACGGACCUGACGGCAAGGGACGAAAGCUAGGGGCACGAACCGGAUUAGAUACCCGGGUAGUCCUAGCCGUAAACGAUACUCGCUAGGUGUCGGCAACGGUGCGACCGUUGUCGGUGCCGUAGGGAAGCCGUGAAGCGAGCCACCUGGGAAGUACGGCCGCAAGGCUGAAACUUAAAGGAAUUGGCGGGGGAGCACCACAACGGGUGGAGCUUGCGGUUUAAUUGGAUUCAACGCCGGG